This 1540-nucleotide ribosomal RNA is filed under the name Klebsiella ornithinolytica. RNAcentral's name for it is "bacterial SSU rRNA". It matches the Rfam family "Bacterial small subunit ribosomal RNA". The record is from RNAcentral. Lineage: Bacteria; Pseudomonadati; Pseudomonadota; Gammaproteobacteria; Enterobacterales; Enterobacteriaceae.
AAAUUGAAGAGUUUGAUCAUGGCUCAGAUUGAACGCUGGCGGCAGGCCUAACACAUGCAAGUCGAGCGGUAGCACAGAGAGCUUGCUCUCGGGUGACGAGCGGCGGACGGGUGAGUAAUGUCUGGGAAACUGCCUGAUGGAGGGGGAUAACUACUGGAAACGGUAGCUAAUACCGCAUAACGUCGCAAGACCAAAGUGGGGGACCUUCGGGCCUCAUGCCAUCAGAUGUGCCCAGAUGGGAUUAGCUAGUAGGUGGGGUAAUGGCUCACCUAGGCGACGAUCCCUAGCUGGUCUGAGAGGAUGACCAGCCACACUGGAACUGAGACACGGUCCAGACUCCUACGGGAGGCAGCAGUGGGGAAUAUUGCACAAUGGGCGCAAGCCUGAUGCAGCCAUGCCGCGUGUAUGAAGAAGGCCUUCGGGUUGUAAAGUACUUUCAGCGAGGAGGAAGGCGAUAAGGUUAAUAACCUUGUCGAUUGACGUUACUCGCAGAAGAAGCACCGGCUAACUCCGUGCCAGCAGCCGCGGUAAUACGGAGGGUGCAAGCGUUAAUCGGAAUUACUGGGCGUAAAGCGCACGCAGGCGGUCUGUUAAGUCAGAUGUGAAAUCCCCGGGCUCAACCUGGGAACUGCAUUUGAAACUGGCAGGCUUGAGUCUUGUAGAGGGGGGUAGAAUUCCAGGUGUAGCGGUGAAAUGCGUAGAGAUCUGGAGGAAUACCGGUGGCGAAGGCGGCCCCCUGGACAAAGACUGACGCUCAGGUGCGAAAGCGUGGGGAGCAAACAGGAUUAGAUACCCUGGUAGUCCACGCUGUAAACGAUGUCGACUUGGAGGUUGUUCCCUUGAGGAGUGGCUUCCGGAGCUAACGCGUUAAGUCGACCGCCUGGGGAGUACGGCCGCAAGGUUAAAACUCAAAUGAAUUGACGGGGGCCCGCACAAGCGGUGGAGCAUGUGGUUUAAUUCGAUGCAACGCGAAGAACCUUACCUACUCUUGACAUCCAGAGAACUUAGCAGAGAUGCUUUGGUGCCUUCGGGAACUCUGAGACAGGUGCUGCAUGGCUGUCGUCAGCUCGUGUUGUGAAAUGUUGGGUUAAGUCCCGCAACGAGCGCAACCCUUAUCCUUUGUUGCCAGCGGUUCGGCCGGGAACUCAAAGGAGACUGCCAGUGAUAAACUGGAGGAAGGUGGGGAUGACGUCAAGUCAUCAUGGCCCUUACGAGUAGGGCUACACACGUGCUACAAUGGCAUAUACAAAGAGAAGCGACCUCGCGAGAGCAAGCGGACCUCAUAAAGUAUGUCGUAGUCCGGAUUGGAGUCUGCAACUCGACUCCAUGAAGUCGGAAUCGCUAGUAAUCGUAGAUCAGAAUGCUACGGUGAAUACGUUCCCGGGCCUUGUACACACCGCCCGUCACACCAUGGGAGUGGGUUGCAAAAGAAGUAGGUAGCUUAACCUUCGGGAGGGCGCUUACCACUUUGUGAUUCAUGACUGGGGUGAAGUCGUAACAAGGUAACCGUAGGGGAACCUGCGGUUGGAUCACCUCCUUA